RNAcentral lists this ribosomal RNA (425 nucleotides) under uncultured bacterium. Its description in RNAcentral is "partial 16S ribosomal RNA". It matches the Rfam family "Bacterial small subunit ribosomal RNA", at positions 354 to 796 of the family's 1533-position model. The record is from RNAcentral.
GUGGGGAAUAUUGGACAAUGGGCGCAAGCCUGAUCCAGCCAUGCCGCGUGAGUGAUGAAGGCCUUAGGGUUGUAAAGCUCUUUUGUCCGGGAAGACAAUGACUGUACCGGAAGAAUAAGCACCGGCUAACUUCGUGCCAGCAGCCGCGGUAAUACGAAGGGGGCUAGCGUUGCUCGGAAUCACUGGGCGUAAAGGGCGCGUAGGCGGACUCUUAAGUCGGGGGUGAAAGCCCAGGGCUCAACCCUGGAAUAGCCUUCGAUACUGAGAGUCUGGAGUUCGGAAGAGGUUGGUGGAAUUGCGAGUGUAGAGGUGAAAUUCGUAGAUAUUCGCAAGAACACCAGUGGCGAAGGCGGCCAACUGGUCCGAUACUGACGCUGAGGCGCGAAAGCGUGGGGAGCAAACAGGAUUAGAAACCCGUGUAGUCC